GGCCCAAAUUUGAAAUAGAGUGGAUCAGGAGGAUCAUCUGACCCUACUAAACUACUCUACUUUGAGUUUGUGCCC
Molecule: non-coding RNA, 75 nt
Organism: Haemonchus contortus (barber pole worm)
Lineage: Eukaryota; Metazoa; Nematoda; Chromadorea; Rhabditida; Trichostrongylidae
Source: Rfam